AUGGAUUACAAAAUUCUGAACUGGAAUAUCAGGGGUUUAAACAACCCAGCCAAGAGAAGAGCAACGCUAAUUUUUGUGGCUCAAAUUGGUUGCAACAUAGUCUGUCUGCAAGAAGUAAAACUAGCAGCGAUUACCCCUGCUAUCGUGACUGAAAUUUUGGGCGCUCGGUUUCGAGAAAAUUUCAUCUUUAAGCCAGCUGUGGGCACAAGAGGAGGAAUUCUUAUCGCUUGCUCAACCGAUUUUGAGAUCACCCAUGAGCCGCUUGCUGAUGGGCCAAAUUCAAUCAUUGGGACUGUGAGAGACAGAACUAAUAAUGAUGCUUGGACCCUUUCAGCAGUCUACAGACCUCAAGAAGUCUCCGACAAGAUCUCGUUCAUUGAAGAAAUCAAGAACAUUAAGCAGUUUGCCUUGGACUGCUGGAUGGUGACUGGUGAUUUCAACCUAAUCAAGAAGGCUGAUGAAAAGAGCAAUGGUAAUAUCAAUUUGCAAAUGAUGGGCCGAUUCAGAUCUGCUUUGGAUCAACUUGAGCUGCUGGAAUUCCCCUUGCUUGGGAGAAAGUUCACUUGGUCAAACGAAAGGGAAAACGUCACUUUAACCAAGAUUGAUAGAGUGCUGGUUACUGAAGCCUGGGAACUGAAAUUUCCAAAUUAUCAGCUCACUCCAGCCUCGACAUCCAUCUCUGACCACUGCCCGCUGGUUCUCAAGCCAAUGGAUCUGCAACACUUCAAAGGUUUCCGCUUUGAAUCCUUUUGGCUUGCAAAGCCUGAUUUCCUUGAGGUGGUGACCAAGGCUUGGGAGAAACCUGUUCAAUCUGCAGACCCUUGCAGAAAGCUCCACACCAAACUGUCCAGAACUGCCAAAGCACUAACCAAAUGGAAUAGAAAGGCUUCCAAAAGAUCUCGGUUGAUGUACAACAUUGCAACUGAAUUGAUCUUCCACUUUGAUCUUGCCCAAGAAGAAAGAGCACUAACCAAAGAAGAAAGGAAUUUAAGAGAUCUGCUGAAAAAGAAACUGUUGGGUUUUGCAACUAUUGAGAGGAUCAAGGUUCGGCAAAGGUCUAGGCUAACUUGGAUUAAAGUUGGAGAUGCCAAUUCAAAACUCUUCUAG
This 1107-nucleotide ribosomal RNA is filed under the name Triticum aestivum (bread wheat). RNAcentral describes it as "partial small subunit ribosomal RNA". The record is from RNAcentral. Lineage: Eukaryota; Viridiplantae; Streptophyta; Magnoliopsida; Poales; Poaceae.